UUUCCUUGGGUUUAUCUAAAUCAUUGCUUGUGUCAGUAGUUCUUUUUUAUUGCUAACUAGUGUUCCACGGUACUGUUUUUCCUUUCUGUGAAAGGAAAUCUGCAGUUUCUAGAUUUGGCAGUUACAGACACAGCUAUUGUAUAUACUUGUUCAAAACUUUCUUCAUACAAAUAAGUUUGCAUUUCAUCAGGAUAGGCAUGCAAAAGUGUAAUGGCUGGGCUGUGAUGCAGAGUUCCUUUUCAGUUUUGAAAGGAGCUUCCAAACCGUUUUUCCAGAGCAGCUGUCCCGUUCUCCACUUCUGCCGCUGCGUAUGAGCGGCUGUUUGCUGUGCAGCCUUCUCAGUGUUUGGUGGUGUCGCUGUUUGCUGUUUUAGCCACUUAUCAGAUCUUAGGUAGGUUUCGUUGGAUCUGUACCUUUAAUAUUCUUGGGAGCAGCUGUAAAUGCAAAUGUGCUUUUCUUUCAGGGUCAAAUGUUUGGCGGCAGUGUCUGUGUGACCCCUCGGUGCUCGGUAAUUAUGUGAAUUUUGGGGUAGAUUUCUUGAGGUUUCCUCAGUGAUCCUGGCAUCUGCAAGCGAGAGGUUGUUUCCAAGAUCUGGCUAUUACCAAUUGUGGUGCUACGAACACGAGUGCACAUAUAUUGCUAUGGUAUGAUGUUUUUAAUUCUUUUGGGAAGAUAUCCAGAAGGGAAACAGCUGGGUCGAAUGGGAACUCUCAUCCUAGUUUUUUGAGGCAUCUCCACACUGGUUUCCACAGUUGUUGCACCAGCCUACACUCCCACCAACAGUAUAGUAUGUGUUUUAAAUAUAUGGUUAAAUUACAUUUCAUUAUUUUAUUCUCCCUGACAUCUACUCUGUUAGAUGUAGAAUCCGGAGUGGAGCUGUUUAUAAAAAGCAACCCAGUGUGCUGGGCCCCGGCUGUGCCUAUGCUGUCUCGCUAGGUACUGAAAUCCACUAAGGGAAAGGACCUCCAGCACCCCACUUUGUAAAGCCAGGCAUGAGAGUUAAAUAACUUACCCAGGCAUGUUUCCCAAGUGGCCGGGCCUUUCUGACUCCCCACCUCCGUCUGCCCCUGGAAUCUCCUUUCUGCCCCUGCUUCUGUCGCUUCUCACCUCACCUCUGUGGUGGACACAGAAUCCCCAAGCCCGGGUGGUCCCGAGGCGUCCACACGGCCUUCUCCCUGCCUGGCUUGGUGAUGGCCCCAAGCACUCCGCUGACAUCCUGCAGGGCCCCCAGUGCUUUACCCUCGCCUGCCCUCUUCUCCGUGCUGGCUCUGAGGCUCAGCUUCUAGACCCAGAGGUCAGAUGGCCGCUCCUCCCUCGCUCCCGCCUUGGCUGGCAGGAUGUUCAACCCUGUCCUCCACCACCGGUGCUGCUGGGACCCACUAGCCCACUCUCCUGCCUUGGGUUCCACUGUUGCACCUGCAGGCACCUGCAGAUGGAAAGAUGCAUCUGCAUUGCACAUGCGCAGGCCUUUCUCCUUUUUCUGUUCCCUAAAUAAUUUAGUAGACCAGCUGUCUGUCUUAGUGUUUUCGUUCCCUUGAGCACCAUAAAUGAUCUAGCGUGGCUUAACAUGUAGGAAGGAUGUGUGUAAACCACGCAGCUUUACAUGGUGCAUCCUUCAGUUUGGACACGCAUGAAGCCAGUCCCCUGUGGAUCCCGAGGGCCGCUGGGUAUGGCCCCUUUCCCUAGAUCCUGAGCUGCCGGAGAGCCCCGGUCCUACAGGGGCUCAUGUUCUACAGGUGUCGGUUGAGCACUGAAUUCGGUGUGGUCUCCUCUAGCAGGGGAUGGUGUUCUGGCUGGCAGGGAGUUGCUGUCAUGUGCUUACUUUGAAUUUGCUUCCAUCUAGGCGAGCACUUGCCUGGAUUGGCUCUUGAGGACUGAUUGGGGAAUCCUCGGAAAAUUCCCAGACCGAAGUUGUCCGACCCACAGCCUGCUGCUUUGUCCAGUGGGCCAGUGUGUGGCCGUUCCACAGAGGCAGCAGGGAAAGGGCACCCGAGCUGGUCCUCAGAGUCGGUGCCGCGGGCUUUUAGCCAGCACUUGGGUGCUUCCUGUCCGGCAGUUAAUCAGUCCCUUUUCCCCAAAUCUAGACACACCAGCUCUACAGAUGUCACUGCUGUCAGAGCAGUGUUCGUGGCUUGUUCUGAGCUCAGCUGCUGAGUACCGCUUGCUGCUGUGCUCGCCCCUCUGGGGUCCUAAAGCUGGCAUUUGUCAUGUGAAUGUGUGUGGGCACAGCUGGUCAGGCUGACCCCACUUGGAAAGUGAGCCUUGCGACUUCCAGACAUUGUGGCCUCAUUUAAGUUCUUAAUACCGAGCGUUCUGCUCGGUUUCUGUGCCUUGAUUUUGCCACCCAUAACCAAGGACUUAACGUGGGAUCUUUGGAGGAUUUGAGGUGAGGCAGAGGGCAUGCAGGAGAGGUGGCUGGAGAGGUGCUGGCUGGUGCAGAUGAGUGUUCCUCUGGCGGGCUGUGAACUCCACUUGCCAUCUCAGACUUGGGAUAUUUGGAACCAGGUGGUCCAGUGGCUUGGAAUGGGAAGAGUUCCCUGAAAGCCUGGGGCCUCCGGGAAUUCUGUGCCCAGUAUUGAGCUCAGAGAGCCCUCUAGUGGCUGACAUGGGAAGGUGCAGGCUCAGAGAUGCCUAGAGCAGGGGAAUGGCUUGUGUGGGGUGCAGGGUUCAGCCUGGGUGUUGCCUUGCAUUCCAGAGCAAAGUGCUGGCUCUGAGCCCCCUCUAGGAGCCCUGAGGUGAGGAGCCUGAGGUGAGGUAGUUCACUAUUUUGCAGACCAUUUGGGGCGCUGGACAGUUUCUUUUUUAGCUGAAUCAUUAUAUAUCUUCAUAUAUGUUAGAAAAAAAUAGUAAUUCUCAAAUCCUUUGGUUUAUGGAUAUUAUCAUUUUAAGGCAAAUAAAAAUUUUACUUGAGACCAUAAAUACAUUUAAAGGAAAAUAUUAAGUUGCUACAGUAGAGAUGGUAUGCUUUCAGGGCAAAACCAACAACAACAAAAAACCAUAAAAGUGGUAAAGAAAGCAAUAAUUUUGUCAACAUGAAACUAGAUUAUUCAUAGAUUCCCACAUGAUGCUUUCUGAACCUGUUAACUGCUGGCAUUAUGUGCUUUCCUAACGGUGGGUGUGCUCUUGUGCUUCAGUGAGCUCUCUACAUUUGCAGUUGUUUCUUACAACAAGAUUAGCGGACAGCUGUUGUUUACUGUCUUCAUUUUACGGAGAGAAAUAAACUGAAUUAAACUUUGA
Long non-coding RNA from Cavia porcellus (domestic guinea pig), 3237 nucleotides. RefSeq lists it as uncharacterized. The transcript has 2 exons. NCBI's taxonomy places the organism in Eukaryota, Metazoa, Chordata, Mammalia, Rodentia, Caviidae. The record is from RefSeq and is a predicted model, not a curated record.